Molecule: ribosomal RNA, 362 nt
Filed under: uncultured Rhodocyclaceae bacterium
Lineage: Bacteria; Pseudomonadati; Pseudomonadota; Betaproteobacteria; Rhodocyclales; Rhodocyclaceae
Description: bacterial SSU rRNA
Rfam family: Bacterial small subunit ribosomal RNA
Source: RNAcentral
GCAAGAGAGCCGGAACACAGGUGCUGCAUGGCUGUCGUCAGCUCGUGUCGUGAGAUGUUGGUUAAGUCCCGCAACGAGCGCAACCCUUGUCAUUAGUUGCCAUCAUUUGGUUGGGCACUCUAAUGAGACUGCCGGUGACAAACCGGAGGAAGUGGGGAUGACGUCAAGUCCUCAUGGCCCUUAUGGGUAGGGCUUCACACGUCAUACAAUGGUCGGUACAGAGGGUUGCCAACCCGCGAGGGGGAGCUAAUCCCACAAAAGCCGAUCGUAGUCCGGAUCGCAGUCUGCAACUCGACUGCGUGAAGUCGGAAUCGCUAGUAAUCGUGGAUCAGCAUGUCACGGUGAAUACGUUCCCGGGUCUU